CUACGGGAGGCAGCAGUGGGGAAUAUUGCACAAUGGGCGCAAGCCUGAUGCAGCCAUGCCGCGUGUAUGAAGAAGGCCUUCGGGUUGUAAAGUACUUUCAGCGGGGAGGAAGGGAGUAAAGUUAAUACCUUUGCUCAUUGACGUUACCCGCAGAAGAAGCACCGGCUAACUCCGUGCCAGCAGCCGCGGUAAUACGGAGGGUGCAAGCGUUAAUCGGAAUUACUGGGCGGAAAGCGCACGCAGGCAGUUUGUUAAGUCAGAUGUGAAAUCCCCGGGCUCAACCUGGGAACUGCAUCUGAUACUGGCAAGCUUGAGUCUCGUUGAGGGGGGUAGAAUUCCAGGUGUAGCGGUGAAAUGCGUAGAGAUCUGGAGGAAUACCGGUGGCGAAGGCGGCCCCCUGGACGAAGACUGACGCUCAGGUGCGAAAGCGUGGGGAGCAAACAGGAUUAGAUACCCUAGUAGUC
RNAcentral lists this ribosomal RNA (464 nucleotides) under uncultured bacterium. Its description in RNAcentral is "partial 16S ribosomal RNA". It matches the Rfam family "Bacterial small subunit ribosomal RNA", at positions 339 to 795 of the family's 1533-position model. The record is from RNAcentral.